GCGUGUUCUUGGCGCCUUAGGAUCUACGGUUCCCUUUUUGUACAUUUUAGUACUGAAAUGAACUGAGCGACGCUUUACUCCUUUCUUUGCGUCCAAACAUCCAUUGCUCAAUUUAACAAAUUUUCUCUUAGAUUUCAUGCUUCUGCUUUACAGUUAUUAUUUCUCUGAUGACUAAUGAUUCUCUGCCCCGUAUGAUCGCCGCUACUUCGCUGCUCCUAUCCCCGAAACAAAUCGCGGUUUUCAACUCUGGUCAUCACUAUUCCGGUAGUUUGUUCUGUUCUAUUCCUUUAGGAUUUGUCUCAAAUUUGGGUUUUGGAGGGGAGCGUGCUCUGUCAACGGUGGGGGGUCCCAGGAUGAUGGGGUACUUGCGGAGAAUUGGUGGCGGCUGGUUCAAGGGGGGUAAUGGGAAAGCGCUGAAGAUUGAGGCUGACGGUGGUGGCGAGGACGUUUUUUAUGCGGCGGCUGCUAAGGCGAGGGAUCCGCCAGAUCAUAUCGUCAUCAUGAUAAAUGGGAUCGUAGGGAGUUCUGCAGAUUGGAAGUAUGCUGCAGAGCAAUUUGUGAAGAAACUUCCUGACAAAGUAAUUGUGCACCGCAGUGAAUGCAACUAUUCAAAAUUGACAUUUGAUGGUGUUGAUUUGAUGGGUGAAAGGCUAGCUAAAGAGGUAUUGGCCGUUGUCAAACAUAAGCCUGAGUUACGGAAGAUCUCCUUUGUGGCUCACUCAUUAGGUGGCCUUGUUGCGAGGUAUGCUAUUGCAAGGCUGUAUGAAAAUUUACCAAAAUUGGGUCUCUCAAGUCUUUCUGUGAAUUCCUUAAGUCAAGAACAUAUGAAUUCAGUGCAAUGCCCUGAGCAGCUUUAUGAAGCCAGAAUUGCUGGAUUGGAACCCACGAAUUUUAUAACAUUUGCAACUCCACAUCUUGGUUCAAGAGGAAAUAAACAGCUCCCAUUUCUCUGUGGUCUCCAUUUUCUUGAGAGAAGAGCAUCUCAGACUUUAAUUGUUGGAAGGACUGGAAAGCAUCUCUUUCUCACUGACAAUGAUGGUGGGAAACCUCCCCUCCUCCUUCAAAUGGUUAAUGACUCUGAUGACC
RNAcentral lists this unclassified non-coding RNA (1086 nucleotides) under Hevea brasiliensis (rubber tree). Lineage: Eukaryota; Viridiplantae; Streptophyta; Magnoliopsida; Malpighiales; Euphorbiaceae. The record is from RNAcentral.